GACGAACGCUGGCGGCGUGCUUAACACAUGCAAGUCGAACGGAAAGGCCCUGCUUUUGUGGGGUGCUCGAGUGGCGAACGGGUGAGUAACACGUGAGUAACCUGCCCUUGACUUUGGGAUAACUUCAGGAAACUGGGGCUAAUACCGGAUAGGAGCUCCUGCUGCAUGGUGGGGGUUAGAAAGUUUCGGCGGUUGGGGAUGGACUCGCGGCUUAUCAGCUUGUUGGUGGGGUAGUGGCUUACCAAGGCUUUGACGGGUAGCCGGCCUGAGAGGGUGACCGGCCACAUUGGGACUGAGAUACGGCCCAGACUCCUACGGGAGGCAGCAGUGGGGAAUAUUGCACAAUGGGCGGAAGCCUGAUGCAGCAACGCCGCGUGCGGGAUGACGGCCUUCGGGUUGUAAACCGCUUUCGCCUGUGACGAAGCGUGAGUGACGGUAAUGGGUAAAGAGGCACCGGCUAACUACGUG
RNAcentral lists this ribosomal RNA (468 nucleotides) under uncultured bacterium. RNAcentral's name for it is "partial 16S ribosomal RNA". It matches the Rfam family "Bacterial small subunit ribosomal RNA", at positions 28 to 507 of the family's 1533-position model. The record is from RNAcentral.